CCAGUGUACAAUCUACCAGCAGGGUAAGGGCGAAAAGGUGAGGUAAGAGCUCACCAGCGGCCCGGGUGACCGGGUCGGCUAGGCAAACCCCACCGGGAGCAAGGCCAAGCAGGGGGGAAGGCGCGGGAGGAGACACCCUCCCGGCCGGGUGGCUGCUCGUCGCCCUUGACCCCCGGGUAGGCCGCUAGAGGCGGCGGGUAACCGCCGUCCCAGAUGGAUGAUCGCCCUCGACAGAACUCGGCUUACAGGCCCACUUGGGCG
RNAcentral lists this RNase P RNA (261 nucleotides) under Anaerolineae bacterium. RNAcentral describes it as "partial RNase P RNA component class A". It matches the Rfam family "Bacterial RNase P class A", at positions 130 to 367 of the family's 367-position model. Rfam says of the family: Ribonuclease P (RNase P) is a ubiquitous endoribonuclease, found in archaea, bacteria and eukarya as well as chloroplasts and mitochondria. Its best characterised activity is the generation of mature 5'-ends of tRNAs by cleaving the 5'-leader elements of precursor-tRNAs. Lineage: Bacteria; Bacillati; Chloroflexota; Anaerolineae. The record is from RNAcentral.